UACGCAGACAGUUUCCUUUAAAGCUAGCAUUUGCCUGCACAAUCCACAAAACCCAGGGUCUUACAACACAGACAGCUGUAGUUUCAAUGAAGAACAUUUUUGAACCAGGUAUGGCUUAUGUUGCUCUCAGCAGGGUGACGUCUCUCAGUGGACUCUAUUUGCAGGACUUGGAUGAGAAAAAGAUUUAUGCCAAUCCCGAGGUAACUGCAGCGCUCCAAACCAUGAGACAAGCCAGCGUUGAGGAAAUGAUGCCUCUUCUUCAGGUCAGAGAAACAGCCAGCAGACUUGACACUCUUACACUGAUCCAUCACAAUACGGAGGGUUUACCAUCUCACAUCAGUGACAUCAAGAGUCAUCAUGAAAUGUGCUUAGCAGAUGUUUUGUGUCUCACAGAGUCUCACCUCCAAGGCUCCUUUGUUGCAGACAGUCUUCAUUUGGACGGCUACACCAUGUUCAAACGCAACAGACAUGUGUCCUACACAAACUUUCCUCACAUGGCCAGCAGAAGUGGUGGGGGAGUUGUUGUGUAUUUGAGGAAUCAUUUUCAGGUUCAGACCUCCAGACUACAGUUUGG
This is a long non-coding RNA of Oreochromis aureus, 574 nucleotides long. Lineage: Eukaryota; Metazoa; Chordata; Actinopteri; Cichliformes; Cichlidae. The record is from Ensembl.